Long non-coding RNA from Pezoporus occidentalis (night parrot), 1427 nucleotides. RefSeq lists it as uncharacterized. The record is from RefSeq and is a predicted model, not a curated record. NCBI's taxonomy places the organism in Eukaryota, Metazoa, Chordata, Aves, Psittaciformes, Psittacidae. The transcript is spliced from 2 exons.
CAACCCUGGGUUUAGAGUAAAAUUUUCCUAUCACAUAUCAUCACGUUCCCCUCACUUCAAGGAAUAUGACAUUUCUUGACAAAGAACAUGGUAGUUAUUAAAAAACCACAACAUGUAUCAGUACCCCACGCACUGUCACCUGAGUGUGCCCUGCCUGCAGCAGACAUGAGCUUCAACCAUGGGCCCUGGGAGAGCGGCCGUGGGUGCCCGCACACAGGGAUCGGCUGUAGCUGCAUGCUGUGCACUCCCCUCACAUGUAUGGUUAUAGCAAACCUCCAAAGUUGAGUCACGGGCGCUGUCUUGUGACUUAAAUUUGUUCCUCUUUUGGCCUCAGAUGUUGUCCUGCAGCUGCGCCUGGUGACAAGCUGGUGGCACAGCCCCACCUGACCGUGCCUCAGUUUCCCCAUGCAGGACACCAUGAUCCUGCCUGGCAGCGCCUGUGCUGAGCCAGGAGCCGGGUGUCCUGAGGGAGAGGCACUGCGGAAAUGCCCGAGCAUAGCCCAGCUGUGACUGGCAGAGGCUGAGCGAUGGGAAUGCUUCCAGAUCACUUCCCUGCCUCGCUCGGUGCCUCCCUGCUCCUCAGCUGAUUCCGUGGCCAUUCAACCACGUCAUCUGAUACGACAGCAGCAACCAUUACUCAUUUGUUCCAGGCUGACACCUCUCACCAGCUCACCUGGGUCUGGUGGCUUUCAGCCGCGCCUUCCUGCACAGCCAUCCUUCACCCCGCAGGAGGCCACAAACCAAGGUCCCCAGCAACCUCCUAUGGGUUCACGGGCUUGGCUGUGGGCAGCCGAGGCAGCUUCCCGAGGGCACGUGCUGGGAUUGGAGCCAAGUGUCCCAUCAGCGGUGGAUGAAGCUCUGGGAUCUCAAAUUCCAGAGCAUUGCAGCAGCUCCUUGAACUAGCAUCUGCCUGAUACCCCCGUGGUUGCACCAGCUCUCCCACAGUCCCACUCCUUGGGAUGAUGAGAGAUCAGGAUCAGCCACACAGCAGAGCCAGGCUCUGUGAGGAGCCAGGGGCAGCUUUGGGCUUCAUCCCAGGGAUGCUUCAUGACCCUGUAUCCUGAGACAGUGUCCCAGGCCUCGUUUGUAGGCUCAUGGAAUGAUUUGUGUUGGAAGAGUCCCAACCCCUGCCACGGGCAGGGACACCUUCCACUAGAGCAGCUUGCUCCAAGCCCCUGUGUCCAACCUGCCCUUGAACACUGCCAGGGAUGGGGCAGCCACAGCUUCUCUGGGCACCCUGUGCCAGCGCCUCAGCACCCUCACAGGGAAGAGCUUCUGCCUAAGAGCUCAUCUCAGUCUCCCCUCUGGCAGGUUAAAGCCAUUCCCCUUGGCCUGUCCCUACAGGCCCUUGGCCAAAGCCCCUCUCCAGAGAAUAAAAAACUCGAAGGGGCUGUAACAGCGUAAUAAAUACCAUCCCCUUACCCUCA